UUGCUCACUUUGGCAGCACAUAUACUAAAACUGGAACACUACAGAGAAGAUUAGCACGGCCCCUAUGCAAGGAUGACAUGCAAAUUCAUGAAGUGUUCCAUAUUUUU
Molecule: small nuclear RNA, 107 nt
Filed under: Bison bison bison
Lineage: Eukaryota; Metazoa; Chordata; Mammalia; Artiodactyla; Bovidae
Source: RNAcentral